GAUGAAGAACGUAGUGAAAUGCGAUAGGUAAUGUGAAUUGCAGAAUUCAGUGAAUCAUCGAAUCUUUGAACGCACAUUGCGCCCUUUGGUAUUCCUUAGGGCAUGCCUGUUCGAGCGUCAUUUAAACCUUCAAGCUAAGCUUGGUGUUGGGUGACUGUCCGCUUCACGGCGGACUCGCCUCAAAAUUAUUGGCGGCCGGUACAUUGGCUUCGAGCGCAGCAGAAACGCGAACUCGGGCCCGUCGUAUUGGCUCCCAGAAGCUAUCUUCACAAUUUUGACCUCGGAUCAGGUAGGGAUACCCGCUGAACUUAAGCAUAUCAAUAAGCGGAGGA
RNAcentral lists this unclassified non-coding RNA (332 nucleotides) under soil metagenome. Its description in RNAcentral is "partial contains 5.8S ribosomal RNA, internal transcribed spacer 2, and large subunit ribosomal RNA". The stretch from base 1 to 120 matches the Rfam family "5.8S ribosomal RNA", at positions 35 to 154 of the family's 154-position model. The record is from RNAcentral.